Molecule: non-coding RNA, 30 nt
Filed under: Mus musculus (house mouse)
Lineage: Eukaryota; Metazoa; Chordata; Mammalia; Rodentia; Muridae
Source: RNAcentral
UGGAGCUUUGUCAGGGCCAGAGGUGUCAAU